GGACAAAAUGAGAUAGCAGAGAAGGAAAGGAAAGUAAAAGUCAUAUAAAAGUGGGUCUGGAGUAAACAACAGACGAACUGAGCUAUUUUUGAAAGAACAUGACCACCUUCAAAAAUAUGACAAGGCCAACAGAAGCCCACAUGACUCCCAUUGAAAAGAUAGUUACAGUCACAGAUCCCAAGAGGAAUAGUCAUGCCAUGCCAUGGAGAAUACACAGUUGAGUAAGGUCUAGCCCUCGCUUCCUGAGGGUUUAUGUCAUGAAUGCAUAUUGA
Macaca mulatta (Rhesus monkey) is the source of this 272-nucleotide non-coding RNA. The record is from RefSeq and is a predicted model, not a curated record. Lineage: Eukaryota; Metazoa; Chordata; Mammalia; Primates; Cercopithecidae.